GGGCAUAUGGUGUAGGGGUUAUCACGUUCGCUUUGCAUGUAGUAGUUCCAAGUAUCAUUGCGAAAGGUCUCCGGUUCAAAUCCGGAUUUGUCCA
Rhodocollybia butyracea is the source of this 94-nucleotide non-coding RNA. Lineage: Eukaryota; Fungi; Basidiomycota; Agaricomycetes; Agaricales; Omphalotaceae. The record is from the annotation of a GenBank genome assembly.